UCUAAAUUACAUUAAAGAAGGGGAUCUUCGGACCUUUCGGUUAAGAGAAAGUCUGUGGGAUAUCAGCUUGUUGGUGGGGUAAUGGCCUACCAAGGCUAUGACGUCUAGGCGGAUUGAGAGAUUGACCGCCAACACUGGGACUGAGACACUGCCCAGACUCCUACGGGAGGCUGCAGUCGAGAAUCUUUCGCAAUGGACGAAAGUCUGACGAAGCGACGCCGCGUGUGUGAUGAAGGCUCUAGGGUUGUAAAGCACUUUCGCCUGGGAAUAAGAGAGAUUGGCUAAUAUCCAAUUGAUUUGAGCGUACCAGGUAAAGAAGCACCGGCUAACUCCGUGCCAGCAGCUGCGGUAAUACGGAGGGUGCUAGCGUUAAUCGGAUUUAUUGGGCGUAAAGGGCGUGUAGGCGGAAAGGAAAGUUAGAUGUCAAAUCUUGAGGCUCAACCUCAAGUCGGCAUCUAAUACUAUCUUUCUAAAGGUUGAAUGGAGAAAAGGGAAUUCCACGUGUAGCGGUGAAAUGCGUAYAUAUGUGGAAGAACACCAGUGGCGAAGGCGCUUUUCUAAUUUUUCCUGACGCUAAGGCGCGAAAGCAAGGGGAGCAAA
RNAcentral lists this ribosomal RNA (600 nucleotides) under Chlamydia pecorum. Its description in RNAcentral is "bacterial SSU rRNA". It matches the Rfam family "Bacterial small subunit ribosomal RNA", at positions 190 to 772 of the family's 1533-position model. The record is from RNAcentral. Lineage: Bacteria; Pseudomonadati; Chlamydiota; Chlamydiia; Chlamydiales; Chlamydiaceae.